Molecule: transfer RNA, 72 nt
Organism: Vitis vinifera (wine grape)
Lineage: Eukaryota; Viridiplantae; Streptophyta; Magnoliopsida; Vitales; Vitaceae
Rfam family: tRNA
About the family: Transfer RNA (tRNA) molecules are approximately 80 nucleotides in length. Their secondary structure includes four short double-helical elements and three loops (D, anti-codon, and T loops).
Source: Rfam
GUCGUUGUAGUAUAGUGGUGAGUAUACCUGCCUGUCACGCAGGUGACCCGGGUUCGAUCCCCGGCAACGGCG